GCUUGAAUAUGCGUAGGAGGGUGGUCGAAGUAAGCAUCGCCCCUCCUUCCUGUUUCUCUCCCUGGCUGGAGACAGAAAAGCUCUUUCACCUCGCCAGCAUGUCUGUGUAUCAGCACGGCGCAUCCACAGUGCCUGCCUGUAUCCUUCUACCUCCGUGGCCUUACUAACAAGGGCAGGCGUGUCAUCAACACUCAAACAGCAGCAUGAACCCAGCGAGAGGACUUGGAUGUUGCUGACAGAAAUGUGCACAUAGCGUGGACUUGAAAAGACAGUCCCAUGGGCCAUAGUGGAGGGUCAACAACAGAGUGGAGAUGUUCAAAGAGAGGCCUCCUCCAGGUCAGUCACCUGUUCCAACCCUUUAAUCCCAGCUGCUCUGCUGUAGUUGAUGUGGUGUGUUAGGCCACCAAGGUAAAGAUGAGGCUCCAUGAGUCAGACAAGUAUUUCACCAAACCACCAAGAGACAUGAGGGAGUCAGUUGCUUAUCACUAACGUGUAGUUCUUGUAGUAUCUGAUGAUCAUUUCCUUUAAAGGAUCCAUCUUUAAUUGAAACAAUAUCAAAGCGUCCCCCUGCCUCUGUUUUGGUAAAAGGCCAGGGGUUGAGUUAAUGCAGAAUACUUUUGUGUUUUUUAGGCAUUUUUCACGCAUACAAAAAAGAUCAAACGGAUAAUAAAUAUCUUGUUGCGUUUUGAAAACACAGAUAUAACAUGCUUCUUAUUGUCAUUUCUGCUCAGCAUCAGACUCAUUUUGUGCUUCAGUAGCAAUUCUUCAGUCGGAUGAGAAUUCACAAACAGGCGUCCUAUCAACAGACAGUGGCUCUGACUGAUAUGUACUAACUUUUCUCUGGUACUUGUCUCCUUGUAGCCUAGUUUUCUCCUGUAAAAUGCAAGAGUAACUUCAAUCAAAACAUCAGGACAUGUAGCAGGCUACAUUCUUUCUAUGAUAGACACUGUUCCUAGGCAGUCUUUGAAAAUAAGAAUUUGUUCUUAGCUGGCUUGCCUAGUUAAAUAAAGGUAAAAUAAAACAAAAUACAAAUUUGAAAUAUAAUGGCCAUGCAUCGUUUUUGCAAAAAAUACAUAGGUUUUUAAUUGUAAUCUCAUUUACUUGUGUGGCUGGUUGCCAAAUAGCGUUGCACUUCUGUUGUCUGAUGAAAGGGAAGCUAUUGUCUGCAGAACGUGUUGUACUAAUGUAUUUCUGUGAAUGAAAACUAGAGUUGCAUGUACCUGAUCACUCUGUUGAAGCAGAAAAACAGUGUUGACUAUCCAUUUAAAAUGCAGGUGAAAUGGGUUUAAAACACAGAUUUUUUGAUGGUGUGUUUUGAAAAUUGAUGGAUGGGCCCUGAGAAAUGUAACCACUCUCAAAUUCAUAGAAAGAGGUAUGGAUGUAAGGACUGACCAGCCAUGAUGUCAACAUGAUCGGUGUGUUUGUUUACAUGUAUAUUGUUUACAAACAUUGGGAUAAAACAAACUUAUAUUCUGGGUUCUGAUGGGGUACGACAGUUGAACUUAAGCUCAUGGGGCAUAUGAUUCAUUUGUGAGUCCAAAAAUGGAUGUAGCAACUCCACAUGUUGUUGUGGUCUCUGAGAAACAGACUGGACUUCCUGGACAUGUGGAGGCUGGAGUAGUGAUAGUCUGGUAGAUGCUGUAUUCAGAACAGUAGGUCAGAGAAGCAGACAGCAGGUACUGGAGAGACUGUAUUCAGAACAGUAGGUCAGAGAAGCAGACAGCAGGUACUGGAGAGGCUGUAUUCAGAACAGUAGGUCAGAGAAGCAGACAGUAAGUACUGUAGAGACUGUAUUCAGAACAGUAGGUCAGAGAAGCAGACAGCAGGUACUGGAGAGGCUGUAUGCAGAACAGUAGGUCAGAGAAGCAGACAGCAGGUACUGGAGAGGCUGUAUUCAGAACAGUAGGUCAGAGAAGCAGACAGCAGGUACUGGAGAGGCUGUAUUCAGAACAGUAGGUCAGAGAAGCAGACAGCAGGUACUGGAGAGGCUCUAAGCACAUUCAAGUUGUUUCUGGAAUUACAUGCCCAAGGUCAUCUGCCGAAUGUGUGUGUGUGUGUUUACUUUAUGCCACAGUUCAACAGCGAGGGAAUGUUAAAAGCCUUUUUAUGGAUCUAUGGCAGCACGUGUGUGUGUGUGUAUGUGUGUGUGUGUGUGUGUGUGUGUGUGUGUGUGUGUGUGUGUGUGUGUGUGUGUGUGUAUAAAUCAGAGAGAAGUGUGUGUUUAGCAGUCUGGAUGUGUCCUCUAAUGCCACGAGACUCCCCACACACGGCACGUGCCCAGAACUCUUUAUCCCCGCUGCAGUGUCUCCUCUCCCCUCCCAUUCCUUACCAACACUCAGGCAACUGGGCUGCUGUGAGAGUCACCUUGGCUCCGUAUGCCAGCACAGCUGCAUCUCCCUCCUCAUGGCUAGAUCCAAGAUGGCACCCAGUUUCUCCCUGCAGUGACCUGCUUCUCUCACACCUCUGCAGAGGCAGUUGCCCUGACAACGUCAACGACAGCCUGCUAUUGGUUGAAACCCUCUGCAAACGGACAGCCUUGGUGAUUAUGUCAUGCAGAGACAGCUUCUCUGUGUUAUUGUGAGGAGGACAAUGUUUAUGUAAUUGGUGCCAGGGAAGGCACGUCCAAGGAAUUGUUUAGGGUACCCAAUAAUGCAGUAGCACGUUGAAGAUGUACUGUAUCCAAUUCCCAAUAUCAUCAUAUGAAUCACUUUAUUACAGUGACUUGUAAUGUUAUUUAACAUGACUAAAGUUAAUCAGCGGAAUCAGAGUCGUGUAGCCUAAAGGUUCAGGGGCAUAACGUUCUGAUGCCCCCUACAUUCAAACAAUUGGUCUUUAGCCUGUUGAAAGGAAAUACAACGUUCCGUCAUUAGACUUGGCGACAGGCUCUGAUGAAGAUGCUGCUACUUCAGGUUCCAGUCAUUUACAGUGUGGUAACGGCACCAUCAGCAUCUCAUUCAUAGUGACAUGAAGGCACCGCUUACAGCAUCACAGAGAGAGUGGAGCUGGCAGCACAGCAUCACAGAGAGAGUGGAGCUGGCAGCACAGCAUCACAGCCAAUGACCUCAGUGGUUCUGCAGCAGAGAGAGAAGUGAGAGAGAGAGAGAGAGAGAAGUGAGAGAGAGAGCGGGGGAGAGGGGGAGGGGGAGAGAAGCGGUAAUGGUAUGACACACUCCUAAUCUAUAACCGGAGACGCAGACGGGACAGGACUGGACCAAGAGUGUUCGGUGCAGCUCCCGGAGCGUCUGUCUGUCUCUGCACAAGAUGCUCAGCAGAACCGGGGAAAACCUAUCGACCGAUUAACUACGUUAGAGGGCCUGUUAUGUUAAGGAAGAGAGUCAGAAUGACUAUCCCCAAAGAUAUUCCUGAAAAGUGGUUCCCCAUCGUUCUUCCACUGCAACAGAAGAAACAACAAGGACUAGCUGCUAAAACCAAGAAGACGUGGACAGGUACUUCUGUUUGCCACAGUCACGUCAGUCAUCUGUUUUAUAUGCAGUGUGUGUCUGUUUGUUCAUUGGAUGGGGAAAUGUGCUGUAGCUUCCAUCUAUAUGAUUUAUUGUGUUCUGUCUGAUGACAGACAGGAUCUCCUUGCUAUGUGAAUAAACCAUUCUACAUCUCA
Oncorhynchus kisutch (coho salmon) is the source of this 3616-nucleotide long non-coding RNA. RefSeq lists it as uncharacterized. The record is from RefSeq and is a predicted model, not a curated record. Lineage: Eukaryota; Metazoa; Chordata; Actinopteri; Salmoniformes; Salmonidae. The transcript is spliced from 2 exons.